UAUAUACUCCCUCCGUAUAGAAAUACUUGUCAUAGGAAUGGAUGUAUCUAGAUGUAAUUUAGUUCUAGAUACAUCCAUUUAUCAGUUUAUGCGACAAGUAAUUCCGGACGAAGGGAGUAUUAA
Molecule: non-coding RNA, 123 nt
Organism: Hordeum vulgare subsp. vulgare (domesticated barley)
Lineage: Eukaryota; Viridiplantae; Streptophyta; Magnoliopsida; Poales; Poaceae
Source: Rfam